RNAcentral lists this ribosomal RNA (253 nucleotides) under uncultured bacterium. Its description in RNAcentral is "partial 16S ribosomal RNA". It matches the Rfam family "Bacterial small subunit ribosomal RNA", at positions 524 to 776 of the family's 1533-position model. The record is from RNAcentral.
UACGUAGGUGGCAAGCGUUGUCCGGAAUUAUUGGGCGUAAAGCGCGCGCAGGCGGUCCUUUAAGUCUGAUGUGAAAGCCCACGGCUCAACCGUGGAGGGUCAUUGGAAACUGGGGGACUUGAGUACAGAAGAGAAGAGUGGAAUUCCACGUGUAGCGGUGAAAUGCGUAGAGAUGUGGAGGAACACCAGUGGCGAAGGCGGCAUCCUGGACCGGCAUUGACGCUGAUGAGCGAAAGCUAGGGGAGCAAACGGG